Molecule: ribosomal RNA, 721 nt
Filed under: uncultured bacterium
Lineage: Bacteria
Description: bacterial SSU rRNA
Rfam family: Bacterial small subunit ribosomal RNA
Source: RNAcentral
UCGAACGAAGCACUUUAUUUGAUUUCCUUCGGGACUGAUUAUUUUGUGACCGUUGAGGCGGACGGGUGAGUAACGCGUGGGUAACCUGCCUUGUACAGGGGGAUAACAGUUGGAAACGGCUGCUAAUACCGCAUAAGCGCACGGCAUCGCAUGAUGCAGUGUGAAAAACUCCGGUGGUAUAAGAUGGACCCGCGUUGGAUUAGCUAGUUGGUGAGGUAACGGCCCACCAAGGCGACGAUCCAUAGCCGACCUGAGAGGGUGACCGGCCACAUUGGGACUGAGACACGGCCCAAACUCCUACGGGAGGCAGCAGUGGGGAAUAUUGCACAAUGGGCGAAAGCCUGAUGCAGCGACGCCGCGUGAGCGAAGAAGUAUUUCGGUAUGUAAAGCUCUAUCAGCAGGGAAGAUAAUGACGGUACCUGACUAAGAAGCACCGGCUAAAUACGUGCCAGCAGCCGCGGUAAUACGUAUGGUGCAAGCGUUAUCCGGAUUUACUGGGUGUAAAGGGAGCGCAGGCGGUGCGGCAAGUCUGAUGUGAAAGCCCGGGGCUCAACCCCGGUACUGCAUUGGAAACUGUCGUACUAGAGUGUCGGAGGGGUAAGCGGAAUUCCUAGUGUAGCGGUGAAAUGCGUAGAUAUUAGGAGGAACACCAGUGGCGAAGGCGGCUUACUGGACGAUAACUGACGCUGAGGCUCGAAAGCGUGGGGAGCAAACAGGAUUA